Molecule: long non-coding RNA, 1933 nt
Organism: Phyllopteryx taeniolatus (common seadragon)
Lineage: Eukaryota; Metazoa; Chordata; Actinopteri; Syngnathiformes; Syngnathidae
Exons: 5
Source: RefSeq, a predicted model, not a curated record
GGUUGUGGGCAACAUGCAAGGAUAUGAGUCACACAAUGUGACAUCUGCAGGAAUCCAGACACAGGCAAGCACACACGCACAUGUGCCCACACCCACGCACACGUGCACACUAUUAAAUAAGCUUUAUAGGAAUAAAAGAGUGAAUUUGUGUUUGAGAGAAUCUAAAAGACUUAUUGUAAGACAGAUAAAAGGGGGGGGAUCAUAAAAAGGGAGUAUGAUGACAGAUGGGUGUCCAUUUGGACUGAUUUAUUUAGCUGUUUUCUGUAGUAGCACAAAAAAAGAAUCAUUAGUAAAGCAAAGACGACGCAUCUAAUGCACAUAAUCAUGAAACUAAGUUACAUGAAAGUGAAAUUAUUAUGAGUUUGCAGUUUUGACCCUGACUUCACUAAUUCCCUCCCUUCCCAAGUGUGACCGAAGCCACAUCCCUCACGGAUGUGCAUGAAGACGAUUCUCAAACGGGUAUUCCUCACGACGAUACUCUCUGCGGAAUGAGGCAUCCGACGGCCGUGCCCAAGGAGUUGAUCAUGGCAGUGAACGGACUGAACUGAAUCAGGGGAGAAGCGUCUCUACAGUCACCAUUCAACGGAGUGCAAUAACUCGGCCGUUGAAAGAGAGGUUGCGAGCGCCGUGGGAGCGAUGGAUGACGGAUGGCGAACACAGCUUUACUAAGACUCGGAGGCAACGCCGGGCGAGUUACGCCACAAUUGGUGAAUGGAUCGCGGAUUUCAUGAAAGCCGGCAUCAUUUCUGAGGAGCCGCACGGCAACGAGACUGACUCCGACAAUGACGAGAGGGAACCCGGCGUGUUUGAUGGACAACUUGCCCAGCUGAACAUGAGGACUUUGAUGGAUUUGUGGAUGAGGAUUGAUCCAAAAAGAACAAAUAGACCCCGUAACUGAGACUGCGCCUUUUAAUACGGUGCGCCUGAUGGUCGUGAAAAUGCGGUACUCCGGCGGUUUCCUCCCACAUCCCAAGAACAUGCACGAAGAGUGGGAGGAAAUCAAACAGGCCUGUGAUGUUUUGAAGCCCUUCGAGGAAGUCACCACGGAGAUUAGUGAUAUGUUACUGUGUCAAAGGUGAUUCUUCUGGCAAGAGGGUUACAGAAGAUCAUCGCAAACGCACAAGGAGAUGCAAACCUGAUGGAGCUCAUGGUGGACACCAAGUGUACACAGAUGUCACACAGGUUCCACACAAUUGAGGCACAAGUUUUGCUUUCUGAAGCGGCAGCACUUGACCCCAGGUUCAAAAGGAAGGCCGUCGGCAGUGAUGGUGAUGCAGAUAGGCCCUAUCAACAUUUCAGAAAUGCUGCAGCAAAGGUGAACCUCGUCCACCAGCAGGCUGAAGGAGAAGUGGGAGCAGCAGCACAGCCGCCAAGUUCCAGUCGGGACAGUGAAAUUUGAUCGGCAGGUCUCAGGGCUUGUGAGCCCCUGUCGAAAUCCAGUGGCAGAUACAAUGCUGGAAGUCUGUGGAUUUGUGGAGGAGCCACUUAUAACACAAUCUUCAAACCACACACCAAUGGUGGCAAAGUAGAGGUGUGGUCUAUCCAAGACUUUCUGAAGUUAGGAAUAAGAGGCUGUGUAUUGUGGCCACAUCUCUCCCAUCUGGGAGGAUUUUCAGCAAGAUGGGGCAGAUAAUAUCAGCGAGACGAAAUCGGCUCAGUUCAUCAAAAGUUAGCCAACUUGUAUUUUUAAAUGCAAAUCUGGAGUAGGGGCAAUAGAGUACAAUGUGCCAGGAAUUGUUUUCAUUUGUUUGAUACUUUUGGUGUGUUUGUUUGUUUGUUUUUGUAUUCUUCAAAAUAUUUUUGUUUUGUUUUUCAUUGCAUAUUUAAGUUGAUAUUUUCCUUUUUAUAUAUUUCGAAUAUAUGCUAUAUAAUUUACAUUUUUGUGGCAUUUCUGGCUCUUGAUUUAACAUUUGUUUUUGCACUAAAUGUAAAU